GACGAACGCUGGCGGCGUGCUUAACACAUGCAAGUCGAACGCUGAAGCUUGGUGCUUGCACUGGGUGGAUGAGUGGCGAACGGGUGAGUAAUACGUGAGUAACCUGCCCUUGACUCUGGGAUAAGCCUGGGAGACUGGGUCUAAUACUGGAUACGACAUGUCACCGCAUGGUGGCGUGUGGAAAGGGUUUUACUGGUGUUGGAUGGGCUCACGGCCUAUCAGCUUGUUGGUGGGGUAAUGGCUCACCAAGGCGACGACGGGUAGCCGGCCUGAGAGGGUGACCGGCCACACUGGGACUGAGACACGGCCCAGACUCCUACGGGAGGCAGCAGUGGGGAAUAUUGCACAAUGGGCGAAAGCCUGAUGCAGCGACGCCGCGUGAGGGAUGACGGCCUUCGGGUUGUAAACCUCUUUCAGCACGGAAGAAGCGAAAGUGACGGUACGUGCAGAAGAAGCGCCGGCUAACUACGUG
Molecule: ribosomal RNA, 472 nt
Filed under: uncultured bacterium
Lineage: Bacteria
Description: partial 16S ribosomal RNA
Rfam family: Bacterial small subunit ribosomal RNA
Source: RNAcentral